Molecule: ribosomal RNA, 1105 nt
Filed under: Robbsia andropogonis
Lineage: Bacteria; Pseudomonadati; Pseudomonadota; Betaproteobacteria; Burkholderiales; Burkholderiaceae
Description: bacterial SSU rRNA
Rfam family: Bacterial small subunit ribosomal RNA
Source: RNAcentral
AGUGGCGAACGGGUGAGUAAUACAUCGGAACGUGUCCUGUAGUGGGGGAUAGCCCGGCGAAAGCCGGAUUAAUACCGCAUACGAUCUAAGGAUGAAAGCGGGGGAUCUUCGGACCUCGCGCUAUAGGGGCGGCCGAUGGCAGAUUAGCUAGUUGGUGGGGUAAAGGCCUACCAAGGCGACGAUCUGUAGCUGGUCUGAGAGGACGACCAGCCACACUGGGACUGAGACACGGCCCAGACUCCUACGGGAGGCAGCAGUGGGGAAUUUUGGACAAUGGGCGCAAGCCUGAUCCAGCAAUGCCGCGUGUGUGAAGAAGGCCUUCGGGUUGUAAAGCACUUUUGUUCGGGAAGAAAAGGCGAGGGCUAAUAUCCUUUGCUGAUGACGGUACCGGAAGAAUAAGCACCGGCUAACUACGUGCCAGCAGCCGCGGUAAUACGUAGGGUGCAAGCGUUAAUCGGAAUUACUGGGCGUAAAGCGUGCGCAGGCGGUUUGUUAAGACAGAUGUGAAAUCCCCGGGCUUAACCUGGGAACUGCAUUUGUGACUGGCAGGCUAGAGUGUGGCAGAGGGGGGUGGAAUUCCGCGUGUAGCAGUGAAAUGCGUAGAUAUGCGGGGGAACAUCGAUGGCGAAGGCAGCCCCCUUGGGCCAACACUGACCCUCAUGCACGAAAGCGUGGGGAGCAAACGGGAUUAGAUACCCUGGUAAUCCACGCCCUAAACGAUGUUCAACUAGUUGUUGGGGAUUCAUUUCCUUAGUAACGUAGCUAACGCGUGAAGUUGACCGCCUGGGGAGUACGGUCGCAAGAUUAAAACUCAAAGGAAUUGACGGGGACCCGCACAAGCGGUGGAUGAUGUGGAUUAAUUCGAUGCAACGCGAAAAACCUUACCUACCCUUGACAUGGUCGGAACCCUUGAGAGAUCAGGGGGUGCUCGAAAGAGAACCGAUACACAGGUGCUGCAUGGCUGUCGUCAGCUCGUGUCGUGAGAUGUUGGGUUAAGUCCCGCAACGAGCGCAACCCUUGUCCUUAGUUGCUACGCAAGGGCACUCUAAGGAGACUGCCGGUGACAAACCGGAGGAAGGUGGGGAUGACGUCAAGUCCUCAUGGC